UGAACAUAUGCUUGCAAACUCAUGCCAGCUGACUUAAUGAGUAGAAGAUAAAUGUGUUCAUGAGUAGAAGAGAAGGGGACCAACAAAAAGACACAUGCAGCCGGGAAAUGGAUUCAACAAACAGAUUCAACAAUCACCUUUGUUCCAGGUGCCAAAAAGU
This 160-nucleotide long non-coding RNA is filed under the name Capra hircus (goat). RNAcentral's name for it is "lncRNA (ENSCHIG00010013381.1)". The record is from RNAcentral. Lineage: Eukaryota; Metazoa; Chordata; Mammalia; Artiodactyla; Bovidae.